AGUGAACGCUGGCGGUAGGCCUAACACAUGCAAGUCGAACGGCAGCACAGUAAGCGCUUGCUCUUACGGGUGGCGAGUGGCGGACGGGUGAGGAAUACAUCGGAAUCUACUUUUUCGUGGGUGAUAACGUAGGGAAACUUACGCUAAUACCGCAUACGACCUACGGGUGAAAGCAGGGGAUCUUCGGACCUUGCGCGAUUGAAUGAGCCGAUGUCGGAUUAGCUAGUUGGCGGGGUAAAGGCCCACCAAGGCGACGAUCCGUAGCUGGUCUGAGAGGAUGAUCAGCCACACUGGAACUGAGACACGGUCCAGACUCCUACGGGAGGCAGCAGUGGGGAAUAUUGGACAAUGGGCGCAAGCCUGAUCCAGCCAUACCGCGUGGGUGAAGAAGGCCUUCGGGUUGUAAAGCCCUUUUGUUGGGAAAGAAAAGCAGCAGGUUAAUACCCCGCUGUUCUGACGGUACCCAAAGAAUAAGCACCGGCUAACUUCGUG
This 492-nucleotide ribosomal RNA is filed under the name uncultured bacterium. RNAcentral describes it as "partial 16S ribosomal RNA". It matches the Rfam family "Bacterial small subunit ribosomal RNA", at positions 29 to 507 of the family's 1533-position model. The record is from RNAcentral.